This 253-nucleotide ribosomal RNA is filed under the name uncultured bacterium. RNAcentral describes it as "partial 16S ribosomal RNA". It matches the Rfam family "Bacterial small subunit ribosomal RNA", at positions 524 to 776 of the family's 1533-position model. The record is from RNAcentral.
UACGUAGGGAGCAAGCGUUGUCCGGAAUCAUUUGGCGUAAAGCGCGCGUAGGUGGCCCCGUAAGUCCGCUGUGAAAGUCAAAGGCUCAACCUUUGAAAGCCGGUGGAUACUGUGGGACUAGAGUACGGAAGAGGCGAGUGGAAUUCCUGGUGUAGCGGUGGAAUGCGCAGAUAUCAGGAGGAACACCAAUAGCGAAGGCAGCUCGCUGGGACGUUACUGACACUGAGGCGCGAAAGCGUGGGGAGCGAACAGG